AAGUCGUAACAAGGUUUCCGUAGGUGAACCUUCGGAAGGAUCAUUAUCGAAAUGCAGCGUUGGCGGACGGCUGCAAGGCCGCCCGCCACGCGAACAUGCAUUCAACCACCCUUGACUUUGAGCACCGUUUGUUUCCUCGGCAGGGACGCCUGCCAGCGGGGACCCCAUCGAACACUUGCAGUAGCAGUAUUUGUCUGAGAAAAAACACAAAAAUCAAAACUUUCAACAAUGGAUCUCUUGGUUCUG
RNAcentral lists this unclassified non-coding RNA (246 nucleotides) under air metagenome. RNAcentral describes it as "partial contains small subunit ribosomal RNA, internal transcribed spacer 1, and 5.8S ribosomal RNA". The stretch from base 1 to 46 matches the Rfam family "Eukaryotic small subunit ribosomal RNA", at positions 1786 to 1831 of the family's 1831-position model. The record is from RNAcentral.